CAUUGUUUUACUUUUAAUUAUUUCAAUCAAUAGUGAGCUCACCCGUGAUGUGAUGAAUUGUAAAUAGUAAUUGCUAUUAGGUAAUUCAUAUUAUGGUUUCUGUCAGCCGAGAGCUAUCUAAAUAGGACCGUUUGUGUUACGUCAAUCUUUCCUCAGUUGGCGCUAGGACUAACGUUGCCUAUAUUUUCCGGUUUGGAUGAUUGUGUUAUGCAGUCGCUACUUCUGCGAAUGUCUAAACAGGGAUCACUGUAGAUUGUUCACAUCCGUGUGUUGGUACUUGUCAAAGGGUUAAACCAACUUUGUUUUCCCCACAACAAUUUACUUUUAAAAUAUGAACUUGUUUAUUUUUUAUGGAUUUUAUGUGAAAAAAUACAUGCUCAAAAAACACAAGUAGGCCUAUGCUCUUUCUCACUUUACUAUAGCCUACUUGUAUGACCCAGAGAGCUAAAAUCACUGGGAGCAAAGUCACUCAUGUCCCUAAUUCAUGAUACACCAAAAAUAAUUCCCAAUUUAAAGUUUCUAAAUAAAUACUUAAUGUCAUAAUUAUGAAUGUUCAUGUAACACAUACGCAGGGAGUCAGGGAGCAGGUUCAGAAGGUGAUUUUAAUAAUAAGAAACAUGAAGAUAAUCAAAAUUGUAGCGUGCUGAACGUAAACAAAACUACUACUGUCUGAAGACUGAGGCUAAUGAGGGCUAAAUAAAGGGAGAAUAAUCAGGUUGAUGAUGAAGUCCAGGUGUGCGCAACAAUGGGGAGCAGGUGUGCACAAUGAUGGUUGCCAGGUGUGCGUAAUGUGGGUUGCCAGGACCGGUGCUUAGUUGACCGGCGACGUCGAGCGCCGGAGCAGGCGAGCAUGAUUAGACAUGACAGUACCCCUCCUGACGUACGGCUACAGCCGCAGGGUAACGCUGACCAGGGGGACGGCCCCGGUGGCGAGGAGUGGGCUGGUCCGGACCGCGGAGGUGGAAAUCGCAGGCAAUGUUGGGAUCCAGGAUGUCUUCCACCGGGACCCAACAGCGCUCCUCUGGACCGUACCCCUCCCAGUCCACCAGGUACUGGAUCCGACCCCCACGACGUCAGGAGUCCAGGAGGGACCUGACAGCAUAGGCGGGGCUCCCAUCAAUAUCCAGGGGAGGUGGAAGGGUGUCGCGGAGGACGGCACCAGCCAGUGGACCAAACCUCCUCUACGUACCUGAACCACUCGUCCACCGCAGGAGUUUCGGUCUGGCUUGGGGUCCAUGGAGCCAGGGCUGGCUGAUAUCCCAGGACACACUGGAAGGGGGUCAGCCCGGUGGAGGAGUGACGCUGUGAAUUCUGGCCGUACUCUGCCCAGGGAAGGAACUGGCCCAUUCCCCCUCGCAGUGACUCCUAAGGAACCUCCCCAGCUCCUGGUUCAUCCUCUCUACUUGCCCGUCGGACUGAGGCUGGUACCCGGGUGUGAGGCUUAUCGUGACCCCCAGCUUCUCCAUGAAGGCUUUCCAUACCCGAGACGUGAAUCGCCUCCUGGGGACUCAGUCAAGACAUACCGGUCUGCAUUACAACGGAUAGGGGUGCGAGCGUGGUGAUGGCCGCUCAAAUCAACAAAUGGACUGCAAUGUUUUGGACAUCGUCUGCACUUGGCCAGGCCAUUGCACAAGUUGGAGACAGAGUCGCCUACCAGGUGGGGAUCAUGUCAAAAGAUGGUGCAAAGAGUCCUUGGAGCAGGAGAAAGCCAUUUCGCAGGUCUUGACCAGUGACCAGAAGACCCGGCACUUAGCUCCCACCUAUACUGAUAUAGAUGUUCUUGAGUCCAUCAACCAGAUAUUGACCCCACUCCUAGAAUUCACAGAUGCUCUGUCUGGUGAGUCCUAUGUCAGUGUGUCUUAUCUGAAGCCAGUACUACACCUGUUCAAUACAGAGGUCAUGAAACCUGAUGGUGAAACAGAGCUCACCCAAACCAUCAAAAAGAUAGUCAUGAACUAUCUGAAUGAGAAAUAUGAUGACCUAGCCACAGAUGACCUCCUGGACAUAGCCUCGUUGGUUGACCUUCGGUUUAAAACGCAUUACAUCAAAGAGGAGAAGGUGGGCCACAUAAAAGCUGUCUCAUAGAUGGUCAAUGAGGGACAUGAAAGCCCAGCACAGGGAGACGUUGCUGCUGCUUCACCACAACUGCCAGCUAAAAAGAUAAAUUAAUUGGGCAGUUUUUUCAAAAGUCCAUGCUCCAUCACCACAGGUCUUACUGAAAUCCAGCUGGUUAGAGAAGUAACUCAGCUGCUACCUUUAGUCUCCUGAUGCUGUCAGUGAAACCAAUCCACUGAACUGGUGGAAGAUCCACCCAAAAAAUAUUCCCAAAGUCAGCCACCUAGCAAAGCACUACCUGUGCAUUCCUGUGACCAGCUCCCCCUCAGAGCGCGCUUUUUAGCACAGGUGGCAACAUAGUGACCUGCCAUAGGGCAAAAAGCCAGAGAUCGUAGACAGACUUGUCUUUCUUGCUUGUAACUUGUAAGACAGCAACUACCCCAACUUCAAUUGUGAUGUGCCAUUAGGCUAACAGUUAUAAUGCAUAUUGCCUUGCACUAUUGCUGUUCACAACUUGUAAGGGUUUAUAGCUUUUUUUAAAGUGGAGUUAAUGUUAUUUGUGAGUUAUUCUACUACUGACAAUAAAUAAGAAACAUUAAAGCGUU
This is a long non-coding RNA of Oncorhynchus kisutch (coho salmon), 2660 nucleotides long. RefSeq lists it as uncharacterized. The record is from RefSeq and is a predicted model, not a curated record. The transcript is spliced from 2 exons. NCBI's taxonomy places the organism in Eukaryota, Metazoa, Chordata, Actinopteri, Salmoniformes, Salmonidae.